This 474-nucleotide ribosomal RNA is filed under the name uncultured organism. RNAcentral describes it as "partial 16S ribosomal RNA". It matches the Rfam family "Bacterial small subunit ribosomal RNA", at positions 335 to 800 of the family's 1533-position model. The record is from RNAcentral.
ACUCCUACGGGAGGCAGCAGUGGGGAAUUUUGGACAAUGGGCGAAAGCCUGAUCCAGCAAUGCCGCGUGAGUGAAGAAGGCCUUCGGGUUGUAAAGCUCUUUUGUCAGGGAAGAAACGGUGAAAGCUAAUAUCUUUUGCUAAUGACGGUACCUGAAGAAUAAGCACCGGCUAACUACGUGCCAGCAGCCGCGGUAAUACGUAGGGUGCAAGCGUUAAUCGGAAUUACUGGGCGUAAAGCGUGCGCAGGCGGUUUUGUAAGUCUGAUGUGAAAUCCCCGGGCUCAACCUGGGAAUUGCAUUGGAGACUGCAAGGCUAGAAUCUGGCAGAGGGGGGUAGAAUUCCACGUGUAGCAGUGAAAUGCGUAGAUAUGUGGAGGAACACCGAUGGCGAAGGCAGCCCCCUGGGUCAAGAUUGACGCUCAUGCACGAAAGCGUGGGGAGCAAACAGGAUUAGAAACCCUGGUAGUCCCAUGA